UACGUAGGGUGCAAGCGUUGUCCGGAAUUAUUGGGCGUAAAGAGCUCGUAGGCGGUUUGUCGCGUCUGCCGUGAAAGUCCGGGGCUCAACUCCGGAUCUGCGGUGGGUACGGGCAGACUAGAGUGAUGUAGGGGAGACUGGAAUUCCUGGUGUAGCGGCGAAAUGCGCAGAUAUCAGGAGGAACACCGAUGGCGAAGGCAGGUCUCUGGGCAUUAACUGACGCUGAGGAGCGAAAGCAUGGGGAGCGAACAGG
Molecule: ribosomal RNA, 253 nt
Filed under: uncultured bacterium
Lineage: Bacteria
Description: partial 16S ribosomal RNA
Rfam family: Bacterial small subunit ribosomal RNA
Source: RNAcentral